GAGUGACAAGCGCCAACAAAGAAGGAAGACGAGGAAGAAGGAGAGUGAAGCGAGCGCGUGGAGCCGCCAUCUUGGAGAAGGGGGCGCGCGCAGGGAAGGACGUGGUGGCCAGGGCGCAGCGUUCCAGGAGAAGACGGCCGGAGAUCGCCUCUCUGGGUCCUGCCCCAGUUCCUCGGCGACACAUCGACGUCCCGCCCGAGUACCAGGCUCGGCGAGCAGAUGCCCGACGUCCCUGGAACUACCGCUGGCCCGGACCUACCUGCCAGGACACGUCAGCGUUUGUGCCGCUGAACGUAGACGUGCGGAGGCUGGCUACAGCCAGUCACCGUCACGUCCGGAGAACUACGCUGGGCCGGCGCGCACCGGGAGCGCCAGCCGGCACGAGCCGCGCUCUGCCGGAGCGCGACAGCCCCUCAGCGACCGUGCCUUCGUCACGUCGGCCGGGGCAUCGGGGACGCCGGACACUAACAACGACUGACGACGACCAGAUCGCAUCGACGGACCACAGACCGGGGGACGCCGAUACCCGCGUCGAACAGAACCG
RNAcentral lists this long non-coding RNA (544 nucleotides) under Dermacentor andersoni. RNAcentral describes it as "uncharacterized LOC126516870". Lineage: Eukaryota; Metazoa; Arthropoda; Arachnida; Ixodida; Ixodidae. The record is from RNAcentral.